This 468-nucleotide ribosomal RNA is filed under the name uncultured bacterium. RNAcentral describes it as "partial 16S ribosomal RNA". It matches the Rfam family "Bacterial small subunit ribosomal RNA", at positions 28 to 507 of the family's 1533-position model. The record is from RNAcentral.
GACGAACGCUGGCGGCGUGCUUAACACAUGCAAGUCGAACGGAAAGGCCCUGCUUUUGUGGGGUGCUCGAGUGGCGAACGGGUGAGUAACACGUGAGUAACCUGCCCUUGACUUUGGGAUAACUUCAGGAAACUGGGGCUAAUACCGGAUAGGAGCUCCUGCUGCAUGGUGGGGGUUGGAAAGUUUCGGCGGUUGGGGAUGGACUCGCGGCUUAUCAGCUUGGUGGUGGGGUAGUGGCUUACCAAGGCUUUGACGGGUAGCCGGCCUGAGAGGGUGACCGGCCACAUUGGGACUGAGAUACGGCCCAGACUCCUACGGGAGGCAGCAGUGGGGAAUAUUGCACAAGGGGCGGAAGCCUGAUGCAGCAACGCCGCGUGCGGGAUGACGGCCUUCGGGUUGUAAACCGCUUUCGCCUGUGACGAAGCGUGAGUGACGGUAAUGGGUAAAGAAGCACCGGCUAACUACGUG